Molecule: long non-coding RNA, 1645 nt
Organism: Olea europaea var. sylvestris
Lineage: Eukaryota; Viridiplantae; Streptophyta; Magnoliopsida; Lamiales; Oleaceae
Exons: 3
Source: RefSeq, a predicted model, not a curated record
CUUCACUAUUAGAGUAAUUUGUCUAUGUUGGACUCGACUAUAUAUCUCUAGUGAAACCAUAUGGAUCCAGUAUCGGUUUCAAGGAAGAUAAGUUUGCAAUAUUUGAUCAAAUCCGUACCCAAGCAGAAUAUUUGUUGAAUUUCCACAAAACACGAGCAUGUGACUAAAGUCAUCAAUGGCUAUUAUGGCUCGCAUGAUCAAAGCAUCACAAUGAGGAGAGGCUCUGAAGUGUUGAAGUUGUUGGCUGAAAUUUGAUGCAGAGACGAGGCUCUAAAGUGUUGAAGUAAGAGGCUUUUUCCAUGGUGUACAGCUUUAUCCAUGGGAGGCGCAUAAUGUUAACCUCGGAAAAUUUGGAGGUAGUCCCAUUUGGGAUCUACCUCUGCUUCGAGAUGCUCAACCUUUCCUACAUAAUGAAUGGUUUACCCAUGCAGAGGCUUCUUCCAUGAUGUUCACCUUCAUCCAUGGGAGACUUAUGAUGUCAACCUUGGCAAAUUUUAGGGCCAUCUCUUCUCCGAGGUGCUCGUACUUCCCUGCAAGGUAGAUGGUUCAUUCAUGCAGAGGCUUCUCCCAUGGUGUUCAGCUUCAUCCAUGGGAGGCUUAUGACGUCAACCUUGGAGAAUUUGGGAAAAUAUCUUCUACCGGGUGCUUAUGCUUCCUUGCAUAGUAGAUGCUUCAUUCGUGAAGAGGCUUAUAUCAUGGUGUUCAACUUUAUCUAUAGGAGGUUCAUGCUAUUAACCUUGGAGAAUUUGGAAGUAGUCCCAUUUGGAAUCCACCUCUUUUCGAGGUGCUCAUGCUUCUCUACGUGGUGGAUAGUUCAUUCAUGUAGAGACUUCUCCUAUGAUGUUUAGCUUUAUCCAUGAGAGUGUUAUGAUGACAAUCUUGAAAAUUUUGAAUAUGACUCCCUGUAUUGUGGAUGGUUUAUCUUCAUCAAUGGGAGGCUUAUGAUGUCAACCUUGAAAACUUGUAAGUUGUCCCUUUUAGGAUUCACCUUUUUUCCAAAGUGCUCAUGCUUUCCUUCACCCGAAUGGUUCAUGCAUAUAGAGGCUUUUUCAAUGGUGUUUAGUUUCAUCCAUAGAAGGCAUAUGAUGUCAAACUUGGAGAAUUUGGAUCUACCUCUUCUCUGAGGUGCUCAUGUUUCCUUAUAUGGUAAAUGGUUCAUUCACACAAAGGCUUUUCCUAUAGUGUUCAGCUUCAUCCAUGGAAGGUUUAUGAUGUCAACCUUGGAGAUUUAGAGAAGGGUUCUUUUUGUGAGAUUCUUCUCCAAAUUAGAUUGACUUCCUUGUAUAGGGUGGCUCAUUCAUGCCAAGGGCUUCCCCAUGGUGUAUGAUUCAUCCAUGUGACGUAACAUAUAGGCGAAAAUAAGGUUUUACAUUGUGAGCCUACUGUAGAAGUUCAUGCGUGUACAUAAGUUAAAUAUGAAAAUGACCUUCAAGUCCUUUAGUAAUUUCACGCCCGUCCCUCAACUUUUGACCUUGUACAUUUUGGUCCCCAUAUUUUUACUUCUAUUUCAAUCAUACUCUUGAUAAAUUGCAUUCAAAAUCUUUCAACUUUCAAAACAUCUACACUUCAACCCCCAAGCUCAUAUUUUUGUACUUUUAGUGCUUUUCUCUUCUUUUGCAUUGUUUUCCUUCAAUUUGGAAAUUUG